UACAGAGGGUGCAAGCGUUGUUCGGAAUUAUUGGGCGUAAAGGGCAGGUAGGUGGUCUCAUUUGUCUGAGGUGAAAGCCUUGAGCGUAACUCAAGAAGUGCCUUAGAAACGGUGGGACUAGAGUCCUAGAGAGGGUCGUGGAAUUCCCGGUGUAGCGGUGAAAUGCGUAGAGAUCGGGAGGAACACCAGAGGCGAAGGCGGCGACCUGGAUAGGUACUGACACUCAACUGCGAAAGCGUGGGGAGCAAACAGG
This 253-nucleotide ribosomal RNA is filed under the name uncultured bacterium. RNAcentral's name for it is "partial 16S ribosomal RNA". It matches the Rfam family "Bacterial small subunit ribosomal RNA", at positions 524 to 776 of the family's 1533-position model. The record is from RNAcentral.